Molecule: non-coding RNA, 851 nt
Organism: Macaca mulatta (Rhesus monkey)
Lineage: Eukaryota; Metazoa; Chordata; Mammalia; Primates; Cercopithecidae
Source: RefSeq, a predicted model, not a curated record
GUCUGAUGGGCGGUGUUGGCUGGGGGGGUGGUGAAUGCCUCAUGAAUGGCUUGGGGCCCUCCCCUUGGAAAUGAGUCCUUGCUCUAUUAGUUCACACUGGAGCUGGCCAUUUAAAGGGUCUGGCCUCCCUCUUCUCUUUCUCUUCCUCCCUCUUUGCCCAUGUGACAGGCCUGCUUCCCAUUUGCCUCCCUUCAUGAUUGGAAGCUCUCUGAGGGCCUCACCUGAAGCACAUGCUGGUGCUUGCUUCUUGUACAGCCUGCAGAACUAGAUAUGUGAAUGGACUUGGGAAAAUGUAAAACACCGCCCUCCUUGCACAGACAAGGCAAGCGUGGUUAGCAAGCUCGGAAACCUCUGCUCCUCUGAGUACAGCCGUGGCUUAGGGCUCCAUUCCACUCUGCCUUUCUGUCACCUGAGUCCACUGAGGAAGUCACCUGAGACCGCCUGAGACCGCCUGGCCAUGUUCCACCUUUCUGGAACUGGAAUAUUCUUCCACAUAAGCUCAUAUUCAAGGGCAUCUCCAUGUCAGCCGACACAGACACAAAAGAAGAUCCAUCCUUACAGAAAUCAAAGUAAUUAUGACUGGCUGCUUCUGCAUUGCAGUGCCUUAGAUCAACAUUUUGCUGUGUUCAUUACUGACAAGUACAGACCUUAAACUAUGAGAAUUCAAAUUGUGGGAUAGACCCAGAAAAAGCUUCCUUCCUAAUAGCAUUGCUGUUACAUGCAACACCAAAUGCAGAAUUCUAAAAAAGAAGCUAUAAACACAGGAUGUACAUGCACAAUAUUGACACUCCUCUUUGCUUUGUAUGACAGUGUCUUUUGUUACUGCAUUAAAGCAACGGUGAGACAGUUUU